This 477-nucleotide long non-coding RNA is filed under the name Mytilus galloprovincialis (Mediterranean mussel). The record is from RNAcentral. Lineage: Eukaryota; Metazoa; Mollusca; Bivalvia; Mytilida; Mytilidae.
UUAAUUAACAUUGCCAUCUGGUCUUGUACAUGUUGCCGUUUUCAAAUCAAUUCUAUCUUGAAUACUUUUUGAGAAAAAUGUAAAAGAAAGAAAUUGCUUCAAGGGGACGUAACUCUCAUAGGGACUAAUGAAAUCCUUAGCAGCCUCAUAUGGUAACACAUCAUGAUGAGAUCUAACUGUUGUCCUAAUAAGGUCAUGAUAUCUUUAAAAACAACGAAAGGGGGCCAUGUCGAAAAAAAACAAUAAAAGGGAGAUAACUUCUAAAGGGGAUGAUGAAAUCCUACACAGCCUCAUCUGGUAAUACUUCAUGAUGAGUUCCACCGAUGGUCCAUAUUUGGUGUUGAUAACUUCAAUAGAAACGAGGGGAGGCCAUGUCAAAGAAAUGCUGGAUGAAAAAAAAAAAAAAAAAAAAAAAAAAAAAAAAAACAGGAGAAAAACAAUAAGGUCUUUCCUCGCGGAGAGGAAAGACCUUAAUAA